UCAGCUCUCUUCGCCUUUUGGCUAAGAUCAAGUGAAGUAACUGUUCUUCUUAGUUUAAUCUCUAGGAUGUGCCUAAGGGUACCACAGUGAUUAAACCAGUUUUUGGAAACUGGUUGGCGGCCGCUGAACUUCGUUCAUGUCGCUGACCACGGUGUCGCUCGUAUUGCACUGUCUCGGGCUGACGCGAACCAAC
RNAcentral lists this small nuclear RNA (193 nucleotides) under Neofusicoccum parvum UCRNP2. RNAcentral describes it as "U2 spliceosomal RNA". It matches the Rfam family "U2 spliceosomal RNA". From Rfam's summary of the family: U2 is a small nuclear RNA (snRNA) component of the spliceosome (involved in pre-mRNA splicing). Complementary binding between U2 snRNA (in an area lying towards the 5' end but 3' to hairpin I) and the branchpoint sequence (BPS) of the intron results the bulging out of an unpaired adenosine, on the BPS, which initiates a nucleophilic attack at the intronic 5' splice site, thus starting the first of two transesterification reactions that mediate splicing. The record is from Rfam by way of RNAcentral. Lineage: Eukaryota; Fungi; Ascomycota; Dothideomycetes; Botryosphaeriales; Botryosphaeriaceae.